This 1494-nucleotide ribosomal RNA is filed under the name uncultured bacterium. RNAcentral's name for it is "bacterial SSU rRNA". It matches the Rfam family "Bacterial small subunit ribosomal RNA". The record is from RNAcentral.
AGAGUUUGAUCCUGGCUCAGGAUGAACGCUGGCGGCGUGCCUAACACAUGCAAGUCGAACGGGAGUUGUUUUCGGACAACAAGAGUGGCGCACGGGUGAGUAACACGUAGCUAACCUGCCCCGAAGCUCGGGAUAACGUUCCGAAAGGAAUGCUAAUACCGGAUAAGCUCACGGACUGUAGAGGCCUGUGAGAAAAGGAGCAAUCCACUUUGGGAUGGGGCUGCGACCCAUCAGCUAGUUGGUGAGGUAACGGCUUACCAAGGCGACGACGGGUAGGGGACCUGAGAGGGUGACCCCCCACACUGGGACUGAGACACGGCCCAGACUCCUACGGGAGGCAGCAGUGAGGAAUAUUGCACAAUGGGCGCAAGCCUGAUGCAGCGACGCCGCGUGGGUGAAGAAGGUUUUCGGAUCGUAAAGCCCUUUUCUGUGUGACGAGACAAGGACGGUAGCACAGGAAUAAGUGUCGGCUAACUACGUGCCAGCAGCCGCGGUAAAACGUAGGACACAAGCGUUAUCCGGAGUUACUGGACGUAAAAGGCGUGCAGGCGGUUUCUUAAGUCAGGCGUGAAACCAUUCGGCUAAACCGGGUGUAGUCGUCUGAGACUGGGAGACUUGAGUGUGGUAGAGGCGUGUAGAAUUCCGGGUGUAGUGGUGAAAUGCGUAGAUAUCCGGAGGAAUACCAGUGGCGAAGGCGGCACGCCGGGCCAUAACUGACGCUAAGACGCGAAAGCAUGGGUAGCGAACGGGAUUAGAAACCCCGGUAGUCCAUGCCGUAAACGAUGUACACUGGGUGUUCAGACGGGGAAGCUCGUCGGGGUGCCUAAGCUAACGCGCUAAGUGUACCGCCUGGGGAGUACGGUCGCAAGGCUAAAACUCAAAGGAAUUGACGGGGGCCCGCACAAGCAGCGGAGCGUGUGGUUUAAUUCGAGGCUACACGAAGAACCUUACCCGGGUUUGACAUCAUGGUAGUAGUGAAGCGAAAGCGGAACGACCUUCGGGAGCCAUGACAGGUGCUGCAUGGCUGUCGUCAGCUCGUGUCGUGAGAUGUUCGGUUAAGUCCGAAAACGAGCGCAACCCCCGGGUCUAGUUACAAGUGUCUAGACCGACUGCCCGUGACAAACGGGAGGAAGGUGGGGAUGACGUCAAGUCAGCAUGGCCUUUAUAUCCAGGGCUACACACACGCUACAAUGGCCGGUACAAUAGGUAGCGAAGCGGCGACGCGGAGCCAAUCCACCAAAGCCGGUCGUAGUUCGGAUUGCAGGCUGCAACUCGCCUGCAUGAAGCUGGAGUUGCUAGUAACCGCAGGUCAGCUAUACUGCGGUGAAUACGUUCCCGGGCCUUGUACACACCGCCCGUCACGUCAUGGGAGCUGGUCACGCCUGAAGUCGGGAAGCCAACCGCAAGGAGGCUACCGCCGAGGGCAGGGCCGGUGACUGGGACGAAGUCGUAACAAGGUAGCUGUAGCGGAAGCUGCGGCUGGAUCACCUCCUU